GACGAACGCUGGAGGCGUGCUUAACACAUGCAAGUCGAACGGAAAGGCCCUGCUUGCAGGGUACUCGAGUGGCGAACGGGUGAGUAACACGUGGGUGAUCUGCCCUGCACUUCGGGAUAAGCCUGGGAAACUGGGUCUAAUACCGGAUAGGAGCCAUUUUUAGUGUGAUGGUUGGAAAGUUUUUUCGGUGUAGGAUGAGCUCGCGGCCUAUCAGCUUGUUGGUGGGGUAAUGGCCUACCAAGGCGGCGACGGGUAGCCGGCCUGAGAGGGUGGACGGCCACAUUGGGACUGAGAUACGGCCCAGACUCCUACGGGAGGCAGCAGUGGGGAAUAUUGCACAAUGGGCGCAAGCCUGAUGCAGCGACGCCGCGUGGGGGAUGACGGCCUUCGGGUUGUAAACUCCUUUCGCUAGGGACGAAGCUUUUUGUGACGGUACCUAGAUAAGAAGCACCGGCUAACUACGUG
Molecule: ribosomal RNA, 465 nt
Filed under: uncultured bacterium
Lineage: Bacteria
Description: partial 16S ribosomal RNA
Rfam family: Bacterial small subunit ribosomal RNA
Source: RNAcentral